RNAcentral lists this ribosomal RNA (497 nucleotides) under uncultured bacterium. RNAcentral describes it as "partial 16S ribosomal RNA". It matches the Rfam family "Bacterial small subunit ribosomal RNA", at positions 28 to 507 of the family's 1533-position model. The record is from RNAcentral.
GAUGAACGCUGGCGGCGUGCCUAAUACAUGCAAGUCGAGCGAGCAGACGAGGAGCUUGCUCCUCUGACGUUAGCGGCGGACGGGUGAGUAACACGUGGAUAACCUACCUAUAAGACUGGGAUAACUUCGGGAAACCGGAGCUAAUGCCGGAUAAUAUAUUGAACCGCAUGGUUCAAUAGUGAAAGACGGUUUUGCUGUCACUUAUAGAUGGAUCCGCGCCGCAUUAGCUAGUUGGUAAGGUAACGGCUUACCAAGGCAACGAUGCGUGGCCGACCUGAGAGGGUGAUCGGCCACACUGGAACUGAGACACGGUCCAGACUCCUACGGGAGGCAGCAGUAGGGAAUCUUCCGCAAUGGGCGAAAGCCUGACGGAGCAACGCCGCGUGAGUGAUGAAGGUCUUCGGAUCGUAAAACUCUGUUAUUAGGGAAGAACAAAUGUGUAAGUAACUAUGCACGUCUUGACGGUACCUAAUCAGAAAGCCACGGCUAACUACGUG